This 414-nucleotide unclassified non-coding RNA is filed under the name Hevea brasiliensis (rubber tree). The record is from RNAcentral. Lineage: Eukaryota; Viridiplantae; Streptophyta; Magnoliopsida; Malpighiales; Euphorbiaceae.
ACCUACUUCAUGGGUGGAUUGUGAUUUUUUGUUGGGACUAUUUUGUAUAUAUAUGUUUAGGGAGAUUCAUGAUUGAUUAUUGGGUUAUAGAUAUAUUCUUUUAAUCUUGAUAUUCUUGGUCAGUUGAUAGCCAUUUUUGGUAAAUUUGACAAUCUUGGUAAACUUGAUAAUUAACGUUAGAAGCAUACUGCUCACUACUGUGUUUUCAUCGGGUUAUCUUGGGCUUAAUAAGCCAUGUUUUCAAGGGAGACUUUGUCAGUUUUUCAAGUUUUAUCAAACUUCAGCCAGCCCCACUCUUGCUAUAUCAUAACCUUAAGCAACUUAAAAUCUCCAGCAAAUUGAAAAUAAAGCGACUACAUAUUAUGCAGACACAAAUGUAACAGGAGACUUACAGGGAAAAAGCGAUCAAUGUGG